GUGGGGAAUCUUGCGCAAUGGGCGAAAGCCUGACGCAGCCAUGCCGCGUGAAUGAUGAAGGUCUUAGGAUUGUAAAAUUCUUUCACCGGGGACGAUAAUGACGGUACCCGGAGAAGAAGCCCCGGCUAACUUCGUGGCAGCAGCCGCGGUAAUACGAAGGGGGCUAGCGUUGCUCGGAAUUACUGGGCGUAAAGGGCGCGUAGGCGGACAGUUUAGUCAGAGGUGAAAGCCCAGGGCUCAACCUUGGAAUUGCCUUCGAUACUGGCUGUCUUGAGUACGGGAGAGGUGAGUGGAACUCCGAGUGUAGAGGUGAAAUUCGUAGAUAUUCGGAAGAACACCAGUGGCGAAGGCGACUCACUGGCCCGUUACUGACGCUGAGGCGCGAAAGCGUGGGGAGCAAACAGGAUUAGAAACCCUGGUAGUCC
RNAcentral lists this ribosomal RNA (425 nucleotides) under uncultured bacterium. RNAcentral's name for it is "partial 16S ribosomal RNA". It matches the Rfam family "Bacterial small subunit ribosomal RNA", at positions 354 to 796 of the family's 1533-position model. The record is from RNAcentral.